RNAcentral lists this ribosomal RNA (2900 nucleotides) under Clostridioides difficile. RNAcentral describes it as "bacterial LSU rRNA". It matches the Rfam family "Bacterial large subunit ribosomal RNA". The record is from RNAcentral. Lineage: Bacteria; Bacillati; Bacillota; Clostridia; Peptostreptococcales; Peptostreptococcaceae.
UGGUCAAGUUAUUAAGGGUGCAGGGCGGAUGCCUUGGCACUAGGAGCCGAUGAAGGACGUGAUAAGCUGCGAUAAGCUUCGGGGAGUUGCACGUAAACUUUGAUCCGAAGAUUUCCGAAUGAGGAAACUCACUUAGAGUAAUGUCUAAGUAUCAUUAAGUGAAUACAUAGCUUAAUGAGGGGAACUCAGGGAACUGAAACAUCUAAGUACCUGAAGGAAGAGAAAGAAAUUCGAUUCCGUAAGUAGCGGCGAGCGAACGCGGAUUAGCCCAAACCAAUAAAGUUUUCUUUGUUGGGGUUGCGGACAUAUCAUAACGAAGAGGUAUCGUAAUUGAAGAGGUUUGGAAAGACCCACCACAGAAGGUAAUAGUCCUGUAUGUUAAACGAGAAGACUUUAGAUAUGAUCCAGAGUACCACGGGACACGUGAAACCCUGUGGGAAGCAGGAGGGACCACCCUCCAAGGCUAAAUACUACCUAGUGACCGAUAGCGUAUAGUACCGUGAGGGAAAGGUGAAAAGAACCCCGGGAGGGGAGUGAAAUAGAACCUGAAACCCUGCACUUACAAGCUGUGGAAGCACAUUUCUUGUGUGACCGCGUACUUUUUGUAGAACGGGCCAACGAGUUACGUUAAGUAGCAAGGUUAAGCACUUAAGGUGCGGAGCCGUAGCGAAAGCGAGUUUUAACUGAGCGUUCAGUUACUUGACGUAGACCCGAAACCGGGCGACCUACCCAUGAGCAGGAUGAAGCGAAAGUAAAAUUUCGUGGAGGUCCGAACCCACGAGCGUUGAAAAGCUCGGGGAUGACUUGUGGGUAGCGGUGAAAUUCCAAUCGAGCCCGGAGAUAGCUGGUUCUCCCCGAAAUAGCUUUAGGGCUAGCCUCAAGGUGAGAGAUACGGAGGUAGAGCACUGAAUGUCCUAGGGGGUAUUGCACCUACCGAAGACUAUCAAACUCCGAAUGCCGUCAUCUUAUACUUGGGAGUCAGACUGUGGGUGAUAAGAUUCAUAGUCGAAAGGGCAACAGCCCAGAUCGUCAGCUAAGGUCCCUAAAUGUAAGUUAAGUGGUAAAGGAUGUGGGAUUGCACAGACAACCAGGAUGUUGGCUUAGAAGCAGCCACUCAUUCAAAGAGUGCGUAAUAGCUCACUGGUCGAGUGAUCCUGCGCCGAAGAUUUCCGGGGCUAAAACUUACUACCGAAGCUACGGCAUCAGUAAUGAUGGGUAGGGGAGCUUCCCAUACGGGUUGAAGCAUGACCGUAAGGACAUGUGGACAGUAUGGGAGUGAGAAUGUUGGCAUGAGUAGCGAGAUGUGGGUGAGAAUCCCACAGGCCGUAAACCCAAGGUUUCCAGGGGAAGGUUCGUCCGCCCUGGGUUAGUCGGGACCUAAGCUGAGGCCGAAAGGCGUAGGUGAUGGACAACAGGUUGAUAUUCCUGUACUACCGAUAACCGUUUGAGAGAAGGGAUGACACAGUAGGAUAAGCUAAGCACACUGUUGGUUAUGUGUGCCCAAGCAUUGAGGCAGUCAAAGUAGGCAAAUCCGCUUUGAUAAUGCUGGGAUGUGAUGGGGAGCGAAAUUUAGUAGCGAAGUAGCUGAUUUCACACUGUCAAGAAAAGUCUCUAUCGAGGUUAAAGGUACCCGUACCGCAAACCGACACAGGUGGGUGAGGAGAGUAUCCUAAGGCCAGCGAGAGAACUGUUGUUAAGGAACUCGGCAAAAUGACCCCGUAACUUAGGGAUAAGGGGUGCCACCAUCAGGUGGCCGCAGAGAAUAGGCCCAAGCGACUGUUUACCAAAAACAUAGGUUUCUGCUAAGUCGCAAGACGAUGUAUAGGAGCUGACGCCUGCCCGGUGCUGGAAGGUUAAGGGGAUCUGUUAGAGCAAUCGAAGCAGUGAACUUAAGCCCCAGUAAACGGCGGCCGUAACUAUAACGGUCCUAAGGUAGCGAAAUUCCUUGUCGGGUAAGUUCCGACCCGCACGAAAGGCGUAACGAUUUGGGCACUGUCUCAACAACAGACUCGGUGAAAUUGUAAUUCCGGUGAAGAUGCCGGAUACCUGCGACAGGACGGAAAGACCCCAUGGAGCUUUACUGUAGCUUGACAUUGGGUCUUGGUACUACAUGUACAGGAUAGGUGGGAGGCUUUGAAACCAGGACGCCAGUUUUGGCGGAGCCAUCCUUGGGAUACCACCCUUGUAGUACUGGGACUCUAACCAUAGACCAUGAAUCUGGUCUUGGGACACUGUCAGGUGGGCAGUUUGACUGGGGCGGUCGCCUCCCAAAAGGUAACGGAGGCGCUCAAAGGUUCUCUCAGUACGGUCGGAAAUCGUACGUAGAGUGUAAAGGCAAAAGAGAGCUUGAUUGCAAGACAUACAGGUCGAGCAAGGAUGAAAAUCGGACUUAGUGAUCCGGUGGUUCUGCGUGGAAGGGCCAUCGCUCAACGGAUAAAAGCUACCCUGGGGAUAACAGGCUUAUCUCCCCCAAGAGUCCACAUCGACGGGGAGGUUUGGCACCUCGAUGUCGGCUCAUCACAUCCUGGGGCUGUAGUAGGUCCCAAGGGUUGGGCUGUUCGCCCAUUAAAGUGGUACGCGAGCUGGGUUCAGAACGUCGUGAGACAGUUCGGUCCCUAUCCGUCGCAGGCGUAGGAAAUUUGAGAAGACCUGUCCUUAGUACGAGAGGACCGGGAUGGACGUACCUCUGGUGUACCAGUUGUCCUGCCAAGGGCAUGGCUGGGUAGCUAUGUACGGAAUGGAUAAGCGCUGAAAGCAUCUAAGCGCGAAGCCAACUUCAAGAUAAGAUUUCCCACCGCAAGGGUAAGACCCCAGAAAGACUAUCUGGUUGAUAGGUCGAAGGUGUAAGUGCAGCAAUGUAUUUAGCUUAUCGAUACUAAUAGGUCGAGGACUUGACCAAU